AUUGAACGCUGGCGGCAUGCUUUACACAUGCAAGUCGAACGGUAACAGGCCUUCGGGUGCUGACGAGUGGCGAACGGGGGAGUAAUGCAUCGGAACGUACCCAGAGGUGGGGGAUAACGCAGCGAAAGCUGUGCUAAUACCGCAUGUGAUCUGAGGAUGAAAGCGGGGGACCGAGCAGCAAUGUUUGGCCUCGCGCCUUUGGAGCGGCCGAUGUCGGAUUAGCUAGUUGGUGGGGUAAAGGCCUACCAAGGCGACGAUCCGUAGCUGGUCUGAGAGGACGACCAGCCACACUGGGACUGAGACACGGCCCAGACUCCUACGGGAGGCAGCAGUGGGGAAUUUUGGGCAAUGGGCGCAAGCCUGAUCCAGCAAUGCCGCGUGCGGGAAGAAGGCCUUCGGGUUGUAAACCGCUUUUGGCAGGAACGAAACGGUGUCCGCUAAUACCGGGCGCUAAUGACGGUACCUGCAGAAUAAGCACCGGCUAACUACGUG
RNAcentral lists this ribosomal RNA (492 nucleotides) under uncultured bacterium. Its description in RNAcentral is "partial 16S ribosomal RNA". It matches the Rfam family "Bacterial small subunit ribosomal RNA", at positions 29 to 507 of the family's 1533-position model. The record is from RNAcentral.